This 291-nucleotide unclassified non-coding RNA is filed under the name Hevea brasiliensis (rubber tree). The record is from RNAcentral. Lineage: Eukaryota; Viridiplantae; Streptophyta; Magnoliopsida; Malpighiales; Euphorbiaceae.
GAUGAGAUGCUAUACAGAUCAACAGCGAGAAAAAUGUUUCAGAGAAUCCAAGAAGAAGAUGAGGUCAACCCGUAUAGCGGUUUUUCAAAAACCUAGCGUUAGGAGAUUGCAUUUGCAUGUGCGUGUACUGCGAAAUGCAAUCCCAUUGGAUGCUUUUAUUAUUGUAUGGAAAUGUGAGAAUGAGAUCCUUGGGGAUUUUUCUUCCUUUUCUUUUCUUUUUAAUGAAUGGAAGAAUUUCUCUUCCUUAUUUAUUAUAUAAAAUCAUCCAAUGGGAUUGCAUUUCGCAGUACA